CCAAACUUGGUCAUUUAGAGGAAGUAAAAGUCGUAACAAGGUUUCCGUAGGUGAACCUGCGGAAGGAUCAUUAUUGAAUCCUUAGGAUGUUGCUGGCCUCCUUUGGAGGCAUGUGCACUCCGCCUUUCAAUACACCUGUGAACUCAUUGUAGGUGCAGACGUAACAGUCUGUUGCCUAUGUUUUUUUUAACACACUCUUAAAAUGUAUUAUGAAUGUCUAAAAUAUGGCCUUUGAUGUCAGUAAAACCUAAUACAACUUUCAACAAUGGAUCUCUUGGUUCUCGCAUCGAUGAAGAACGCAGC
RNAcentral lists this unclassified non-coding RNA (303 nucleotides) under uncultured fungus. RNAcentral describes it as "partial contains small subunit ribosomal RNA, internal transcribed spacer 1, and 5.8S ribosomal RNA". The stretch from base 1 to 73 matches the Rfam family "Eukaryotic small subunit ribosomal RNA", at positions 1759 to 1831 of the family's 1831-position model. The record is from RNAcentral. Lineage: Eukaryota; Fungi.